AUGAAUUUUGGGUUAAUUUUUUGGGUUUUUUUUUUAAACUCUAAAAAAUAAUUCACCUUUUGUGCACUGUUAUUAAGAUAUACUUUGGUUAGAGUUUUGACAUUAGUCAACUUCUUGCUAACUCUAUCCUUAUUGUAAGGACAGUUGGCUAUGAAGCGUGCCUACCAAGGUUUUUUAUCAAACUCUUUUUAUUUUGUCUGACCUAAAUAUCAAUAAUUAAAUCA
RNAcentral lists this unclassified non-coding RNA (224 nucleotides) under soil metagenome. RNAcentral's name for it is "partial internal transcribed spacer 1". The record is from RNAcentral.